UACAGAGGUCUCAAGCGUUGUUCGGAUUCAUUGGGCGUAAAGGGUGCGUAGGCGGCGCGGUAAGUCGGGUGUGAAAUCUCGGGGCUUAACUCCGAAACUGCAUUCGAUACUACCGUGCUUGAGGACUGGAGAGGAGACUGGAAUUUACGGUGUAGCGGUGAAAUGCGUAGAUAUCGUAAGGAACACCGGUGGCGAAGGCGGGUCUCUGGGCCGAUACUGACGCUGAGGAGCGAAAGCGUGGGGAGCGAACAGG
Molecule: ribosomal RNA, 253 nt
Filed under: uncultured bacterium
Lineage: Bacteria
Description: partial 16S ribosomal RNA
Rfam family: Bacterial small subunit ribosomal RNA
Source: RNAcentral